RNAcentral lists this ribosomal RNA (570 nucleotides) under Euplotes sp. MdV3B. RNAcentral describes it as "SSU rRNA". It matches the Rfam family "Eukaryotic small subunit ribosomal RNA", at positions 1231 to 1810 of the family's 1831-position model. The record is from RNAcentral. Lineage: Eukaryota; Ciliophora; Spirotrichea; Euplotida; Euplotidae.
UAGCGAGGAUUGACAGAUUGAUAGCUCUUUCUUGAUUCUAUGGGUAUUUUUGGUGGUGCAUGGCCGUUCUUAGUUGGUGGAGUGAUUUGUCUGGUUAAUUCCGUUAAACGAACGAGACCUCAGCCUGCUAAAUAGUUACUUGUCUUUCUUUUACGAGACAUGUUAACUUCUUAGAGGGACGUUGUGUGCAACCACAAGGAAGUUGAGGCAAUAACAGGUCUGUGAUGCCCUUAGAUGUCCUGGGCCGCACGCGUGCUACACUGAUACGUACAACGAGGUAUAUGUAUUUAUACAUCGAUGCUGCUCCGAAAUAGACAAAGCUAAAUCUUCUAAAAUACGUAUCGUGCUGCGGAUAGAUCGUUGAAAUUAUGAAUCUUGAAGGUGGAAUUCCUAGUAAGCGCGGGUCAUCAACCCGCGUUGAUUACGUCCCUGCCCUUUGUACACACCGCCCGUCGCUCCUACCAAUUUCGAGUGGCUCGGUGAACCUCUUUGGACUGUCGAGCAAUCGCGAAAUUAGAGUGAACCUGGUCACUUAGAGGAAGGAGAAGUCGUAACAAGGUUUCCGUAGGU